GAUGAGUUGGACUACAUGGCUUCGACGGGUAGCCGGCCUGAGAGGGUGACCGGCCACACUGGGACUGAGACACGGCCCAGACUCCUACGGGAGGCAGCAGUGGGGAAUAUUGGACAAUGGGCGGAAGCCUGAUCCAGCAACGCCGCGUGAGGGAUGACGGCCUUCGGGUUGUAAACCUCUUUCAGCACAGACGAAGCGAAAGUGACGGUAUGUGCAGAAGAAGCACCGGCCAACUACGUGCCAGAGGCGCGGCCGAA
This 257-nucleotide ribosomal RNA is filed under the name uncultured Nocardioides sp. RNAcentral's name for it is "partial 16S ribosomal RNA". It matches the Rfam family "Bacterial small subunit ribosomal RNA", at positions 248 to 525 of the family's 1533-position model. The record is from RNAcentral. Lineage: Bacteria; Bacillati; Actinomycetota; Actinomycetes; Propionibacteriales; Nocardioidaceae.